CCACCAUGAGGCAUGAGCUGCUGCCUGAGUGAGAUGGAAGCCAAAGGAUGGUUUGAGCUGAGGAAUGACAUGGGACAUUACUUUCAAUAUACGUUAAUAAAUAAUUUAUAAACAGCCGCUAUAGGAUGCACAAAAUUCUGUUUAAAUUGCCAGGUUCCAAAAACAAAUUUAAUGUCUAGUUCAAUUCAUGAACUCCUCCAAAUUAUGGUUUGUACUACCCUUAUCAGAGGGCCUCCUGCUGUUAGAAGGAUGGUCCCCGGAACUCCUGGCUUGUCAAAGGCCCCAGGAAUCCCAGUUCUCUGGAGCAUGCAGUCCUCCUUGCCCGAAUCGGCAGAAAGUGUUCCCCUGGAAGUGAAGCAGGAGAAGAGAUUCCCCUGGUGUUACUAGUCAAACUACAAAAGAGCAUGGAAGUAACAAGCAGAAGACAAAGCCAGCAGAAUGACACGCUGCUGGAGCAGUCUGGAGGGACAGAUCCUGGAGGGCACGCCGGCUGGAGAACGCCAGCAGAGCAGCUGGAUGCCUGUCAGGGGCCUUGUAGGUGGAGGGAGGUGGGCUAGGACAAGAAGCUCUGAUCUGAGGCCCCUUUCAGUCCUCCUGGUGUGGCCCCACCUUCCCCGUCCCACAGGAUUCCUGCUCCCCAUGCCCGCCGGGCCACUACUGCAGCUCUGCUGGCCUCGCCAGCCCUUCUGGACUCUGCAGCACAGGUUUCUUCUGCCUCAGUGGGGCGCUCGUCCCCAACGGCUCCCUGGGAGACCAGGCCGGCGGCCCCUGCCCCACAGGACACUUCUGCCCCCCAGGCACUGCUGUCCCCAGGCCCUGCCCGGCAGGCACCCACAAUGGCCUAGCUGCCCGAGGCCACUGUGAGCCUUGUCCAGAGGGUUUCUUCUGCCUGGCAAAUACCUCCUCUGUGGUGGGGAAUGAGUGUCCAGCCGGCCAUUACUGCCCUGCCUCCACCUCCUCUGCUUCUCAGUUCCCGUGCCCCAGGGGCACCUACAAUCCACAGAGAGGGGGUGUCCAGCAGUCAGACUGCAUCGCCUGCGA
Non-coding RNA from Equus caballus (horse), 1041 nucleotides. NCBI's taxonomy places the organism in Eukaryota, Metazoa, Chordata, Mammalia, Perissodactyla, Equidae. The record is from RefSeq and is a predicted model, not a curated record.